AAUAGACUGAAGAUUGCUGGUGCAUUUUUGACCUUUUCUUUUUCCAUGCGUAUCCCAUAUAUCUGCAUCAUGCCUUGGUUACACAGGAAGAUUCUGGAAGUAUAUAUCCAUGCAAUAUCUCAGUGUCUCUAAAAGUUCUAGUUUGGAGUCCACUUAAAGAGGCUACUUCAAUCUCAAUUUUGAUGGAGUGUUGUGUGGAAUCUGGAAGACAACCAAGCUGCAGGUGGGUUUCAUAUUCUAGAUUCAAGAGGCACAAUUUAGGAGCAGGUUAUAAAUUUCAGGGCACCACCAGUCUACCAGAAGAGCAAGCCGAAGCUGUUUUUUGAAUGAGAUUCCUUCUCAUCUUCUCAACCGGAUUGUGCGAAAUCAUGUGCUCCAUGGAUCAGCUAAACCCUUGGCAAAUGUUAUCACUUCAGUGUGAAUUAGAUCUGUUAGAUUGCCAUGUAAAACUCUGCACAAUCCACACACUCUCUCACACUCACAGAGAGAUUAUAAGGAUUAGCCUAGUUUUUUUUUUCCUUCUUUCGAGUGAAACAUAUGAACAUAGUUUUUGC
This is a long non-coding RNA of Vitis riparia (riverbank grape), 554 nucleotides long. RefSeq lists it as uncharacterized. The transcript has 2 exons. The record is from RefSeq and is a predicted model, not a curated record. NCBI's taxonomy places the organism in Eukaryota, Viridiplantae, Streptophyta, Magnoliopsida, Vitales, Vitaceae.